Nasonia vitripennis (jewel wasp) is the source of this 477-nucleotide long non-coding RNA. RefSeq lists it as uncharacterized. The record is from RefSeq and is a predicted model, not a curated record. The transcript is spliced from 3 exons. NCBI's taxonomy places the organism in Eukaryota, Metazoa, Arthropoda, Insecta, Hymenoptera, Pteromalidae.
CGGAAUCGACGGCGGGACUGGGCUCUGUGGCUUGAUCCGUGUGUGUGUGUGUACACGCAGUCAAAUACACAUAAAACACACAUACACGUACAUGCUAAAAGAUUUUGAUGACGUUUACAAACGUUAUAGCUGACUUUAACUUUUUAUAGCUACAGUUAGCACACCUUAAAAAGUAAAGUCACUAUACCUUCUGAGAGCACAUCGCAACUCUUGCUAGCCAUGAGCCUUGAAAUCUUUUGGAUGAAGAAGAGGAAGCAAAUAAAGAGAAUCAAGGCACUAUGACCGAAAAUUCAACUAAUGCGCAAGUAAUAAAAGGAAACCAAACAUCCAAAAAAGGAAGCCAAAGAAAUAUAAAAUAGCGGAAAAAUUCGAGCUUAACAUAGGACACAAGAGAUAUGAAGAGCUGGACGAAGACACGAUCUAUUUAGGGUUAGAUGUCUCAGUAGACAAAGAAAUAUGGAGAGAAAUGAAUAAGAG